Molecule: ribosomal RNA, 484 nt
Filed under: uncultured bacterium
Lineage: Bacteria
Description: partial 16S ribosomal RNA
Rfam family: Bacterial small subunit ribosomal RNA
Source: RNAcentral
AUUGAACGCUGGCGGCAUGCUUUACACAUGCAAGUCGGACGGCAGCGCGGGCUUCGGCCUGGCGGCGAGUGGCGAACGGGUGAGUAAUACAUCGGAACGUGCCCAGUAGUGGGGGAUAGCUCGGCGAAAGCCGGAUUAAUACCGCAUACGACCUGAGGGUGAAAGCGGGGGAUCUUCGGACCUCGCGCUAUUGGUGCGGCCGAUGGCAGAUUAGCUAGUUGGUGGGGUAAAGGCCUACCAAGGCGACGAUCUGUAGCUGGUCUGAGAGGACGACCAGCCACACUGGGACUGAGACACGGCCCAGACUCCUACGGGAGGCAGCAGUGGGGAAUUUUGGACAAUGGGCGAAAGCCUGAUCCAGCAAUGCCGCGUGUGUGAUGAAGGCCUUCGGGUUGUAAAGCACUUUUGGCGGGAACGAAAAGGACUGUGCAAAUACCACGGUUCGAUGACGGUACCCGCAGAAUAAGCACCGGCUAACUACGUG